Molecule: ribosomal RNA, 371 nt
Filed under: uncultured bacterium
Lineage: Bacteria
Description: bacterial SSU rRNA
Rfam family: Bacterial small subunit ribosomal RNA
Source: RNAcentral
GUAGGGUGCAAGCGUUGCCCGGAUUUAUUGGGCGUAAAGGGCGCGUAGGCGGCUCGGCACGUCCGUUGUGAAAUCGCCCGGCUCAACUGGGCGGGGUCAGCGGAUACGGUCGAGCUUGAGCAAGCUAGGGGGCAAUGGAAUUCCCGGUGUAGUGGUGGAAUGCGUAGAUAUCGGGAGGAACACCAGUGGCGAAGGCGGUUGCCUGGGGCUUUGCUGACGCUGAUGCGCGAAAGCGUGGGGAGCGAUCCGGAUUAGAUACCCGGGUAGUCCACGCCGUAAACGAUGCGGACUAGGUGUCGGGGGUAUCGACCCCCUCGGCGCCGCAGCUAACGCAUUAAGUCCGCCGCCUGGGGACUACGGCCGCAAGGCUA